UACGUAGGGUGCGAGCGUUGUCCGGAAUUAUUGGGCGUAAAGAGCGUGUAGGCGGCCAGGUAGGUCCGUUGUGAAAACUCGAGGCUCAACCUCGAGACGUCGGCGGAAACCCUCUGGCUAGAGUCCGGAAGAGGAGAGUGGAAUUCCUGGUGUAGCGGUGAAAUGCGCAGAUAUCAGGAGGAACACCAAUGGCGAAGGCAGCACUCUGGGACGUGACUGACGCUGAGACGCGAAAGCGUGGGGAGCAAACAGG
This 253-nucleotide ribosomal RNA is filed under the name uncultured bacterium. RNAcentral describes it as "partial 16S ribosomal RNA". It matches the Rfam family "Bacterial small subunit ribosomal RNA", at positions 524 to 776 of the family's 1533-position model. The record is from RNAcentral.